GAUGAGGAGCCGCCUCCGCCGCCCCCCAGCCGUGCUGCCUGCUGGCGGAACUCUUCCGGCUUCUGGCUGCUGGGGCUCUGCAAUAACUUUGCCUACGUGGUCAUGCUGAGCGCAGCCCAUGACAUCCUGAGCCAGCGAGGGGCACUGGACUCCAAUGGGACCAGCCAGGCUGUGCUCUUGGCUGACAUCCUGCCCACCCUGCUCAUCAAACUCAGUGCCCCCUUCUACAUACAG
Molecule: non-coding RNA, 234 nt
Organism: Pelodiscus sinensis (Chinese soft-shelled turtle)
Lineage: Eukaryota; Metazoa; Chordata; Testudines; Trionychidae
Source: RefSeq, a predicted model, not a curated record